GUUCUAUAUCGAUGAUAAAUUGGAAAAUUGGAAAUCUUUAAUAUUUCAGAAGGUUGUCUAGAUUUGUGACCGAGCUCUGACUUUAUAAUUAUAAAGGUAGAAAAGCUUCGACGCGCGACUACGAGUAUUCUCCAAUAAAUGUCUAUAUAUGUAUCUUCUGCGGGUAUAUUUUGAUACCAUUAUGGAAAGACAGAGGAAGCGGGAAGGCGACGAGGACGAAGAUAAUAAGGCUCUCAAGAAAGAAGGAUGGAGGAUCAUGAUCAAACAAG
This is a long non-coding RNA of Drosophila pseudoobscura, 269 nucleotides long. RefSeq lists it as uncharacterized. The record is from RefSeq and is a predicted model, not a curated record. NCBI's taxonomy places the organism in Eukaryota, Metazoa, Arthropoda, Insecta, Diptera, Drosophilidae. The transcript is spliced from 2 exons.